Molecule: long non-coding RNA, 1370 nt
Organism: Pygocentrus nattereri (red-bellied piranha)
Lineage: Eukaryota; Metazoa; Chordata; Actinopteri; Characiformes; Serrasalmidae
Source: Ensembl
AACAUACCACCCCUGGAAGUUCACCCCAAAACAGCUCAGCUGGGUUUUCCUCUCAACUUUGAGAUAUGUCAUCAAGAAGGGGUUUUCCUAGAGUUUAAGCUAGUAAGGCCCACUCUAGAGACUACUGUAGCAUCUCUGUAGCAGUUGAGUAGAUAUGUUCUAGAUACAGCCAGCACAUUUUCAGGACUGAAUUUCCAUUAUAAAAGUUCACAUUGAUUUAUUUAUUACAUCCAUUAAGCACUUUAUUUCAAUUAUGUUGUAUAUUUCUGCUUAGAACAUAAUAGUACUAAAUUCAUAUUCAGCUUCAUUUUCAUUGUCAUUGAUGUUGUUACAGUUAUUGACCAAAAUUCCAUUUUCUGUCUAUACUGCCUUCAAUCCAAUUGCUCAGUUUCUUGUUUAUUGUGUUUACAGCUAAUGUAAUACUUUAAGGUAUAUUUUAUGCCUAAUGUCUCUCUCUCUCUCUCUCCCUCUGUCUCUCUCUUUCUCUCUUAGGAGACAUUGUGUUUGUGUCAGUGUGGGUUUUGGAGAUUAUUAUUCUGCUGUCAUUGUUAGGAGGCUUUCACAUCUACGCCAGAAUCCAAAGAAAACAGAGCAAGAGAGCAGCAGAAAGAAGAGGAGAACCUGGAACAAGAAGACAGAGAGCAUCAUUACAGGAGAUAAACCAUCUCACACAACUGGAACAAUCAGCAAAAUACAACCGUCAGUAGAGAAAAAAAGAAAACAGGCUGAGGUCAUUCUGAUAAUUAAGGACACUGGUGGACUGAAUUGACAAUAAAAAUUUGCCCAUCCAACUAACAAAUCAUUUAGCCUUGUGAAUUGAAUGUAACUGUAGACAAAGCACUUUUAGUGAUUGUCUUUGAUUGAAAGGUCUACAUGAAACUUGCUUUAAUUAGCAGAGUCCAGUCAUCACUGAAAGUAAGUAUGGCCUUCAAUAGUUUAAAAAACACAUCUCUUUACAUGGAUCCUUCACAAAGAACAUAUGAGGUCAGAAUUCCAUUGACAGUCCAUAGAAAGAUUCUUCACUCCAUGCAUAAUGCGACAGGUAUGGAAACUGGUAUCUCUCUUGGCACUGCUUUGCUUGCCUUUACCCCUUCUGGCUGGCAUUUGCUCCAAGGAACUCGGGAUGUGUGGCUGUGAAAGCUGGCCCAUGGUACAUGCAGAUGCUCCUAAAAAUGACUUUUUGUUAAUGUCAUUGUUUGUUCAUUUAAAAGUAUGUAUAUCUAUUUACUGUGUUAUUCUGUGUCCAGGGGUUUGAGUGUUUCAUGUUGAGGUUUGACGACCAUGAGUUCAAUGCUUUGUAUGUGCCUUUCUGCCCUGGGGAUUAAUAAAGAGCACUUCUUGUGGUGAAAUCAUCCACUGUGUCUUGAUCU